This is a non-coding RNA of Pelobates cultripes (western spadefoot toad), 762 nucleotides long. The record is from the annotation of a GenBank genome assembly. Lineage: Eukaryota; Metazoa; Chordata; Amphibia; Anura; Pelobatidae.
CUGUCUGUAUGUGUGUCUGACAUUGCUCUCUGUGUGUGUGUCUGACAUUGCUCUCUGUGUGUGUGUGACAUUGCUGUCUGUGUGUGUGUCUGACAUUUCUGUGUGUGUGUGUGUGACAUUGCUGUCUGUGUGUGUGUCUGACAUUGCUGUCUGUAUGUGUGUGUAACAUUGCUGUCUGUGUGUGUGUCUGACAUUGCUCUCUGUAUGUGUGUCUGACAUUGAUCUCUGUGUGUGUGUCUGACAUUGAUCUCUGUGUGUGUGACAUUGCUGUCUGUGUGUGUGUGACAUUUCUGUGUGUGUGUGUGACAUUGCUGUGUGUGUGUCUGACAUUGCUGUCUGUAUGUGUGUGUAACAUUGCUGUAUGUGUGUGUGUCUGACAUUGCUCUCUGUAUGUGUGUCUGACAUUGCUCUCUGUGUGUGUGUGACACUGCUGUCUGUGUGUCUGACAUUGCUGUCUGUAUGUGUGUGUAACAUUGCUGUAUGUGUGUGUGUCUGACAUUGCUGUCUGUAUGUGUGUGUAACAUUGCUGUCUGUGUGUGUGUCUGACAUUGCUCUCUGUGUGUGUGUCUGACAUUGCUCUCUGUGUGUGUGUGACAUUGCUGUCCGUGUGUGUGUCUGACAUUUCUGUGUGUGUGUGUGACAUUGCUGUCUGUGUGUGUGUCUGACAUUGCUGUCUGUAUGUGUGUGUAACAUUGCUGUCUCUGUGUGUGUGACAUUGCUGUCUGUGUGUGUGUCUGACAUUUCUGUGUGUAUGUGUGUGUG